GCAUAUCAAUAAGCGGAGGAAAAGAAACUAACAAGGAUUCCCCUAGUAACUGCGAGUGAAGCGGGAAAAGCUCAAAUUUAAAAUCUGGCGGUUCUGCCGUCCGAGUUGUAAUCUGGAGAAGCGUUUUCUGUGCUGGACCGUGUACAAGUCUCUUGGAACAGAGCGUCAUAGAGGGUGAGAAUCCCGUCCAUGACACGGACGCCCAGUGCUAUGUGAUACGUUUUCAAAGAGUCGAGUUGUUUGGGAAUGCAGCUCAAAAUGGGUGGUAAGCUCCAUCUAAAGCUAAAUAUUGGCGAGAGACCGAUAGCGAACAAGUACCGUGAGGGAAAGAUGAAAAGCACUUUGGAAAGAGAGUUAAACAGUACGUGAAAUUGUUGAAAGGGAAACGCUUGAAGUUAGUCGCGUCUUACUUGACUCAGCCUUGCCUCGGCUUGGUGUAUUUCAUGUGAGACGGGUCAACAUCGAUUUUGACCGGCAGAGAAGGGGAGCGAGAAUGUGGCAUUCUUCGGAGUGUGUUAUAGCUUGCUCUCAUAUGUGUCGGUUGGGAUCGAGGCCCGCAGCGCGCCCUUGUGGCCGGAGGUUCGCCUCACGUUACGCGCUUAGGAUGUUGGCAUAAUGGCUUUAAGCGACCCGUCUUGAAACACGGACC
RNAcentral lists this ribosomal RNA (649 nucleotides) under Hymenochaetaceae sp. JCM 28405. RNAcentral describes it as "eukaryotic LSU rRNA". It matches the Rfam family "Eukaryotic large subunit ribosomal RNA", at positions 38 to 667 of the family's 3401-position model. Lineage: Eukaryota; Fungi; Basidiomycota; Agaricomycetes; Hymenochaetales; Hymenochaetaceae. The record is from RNAcentral.